UAAUGUAUGGGGAUCUGCCCGAUAGAGGGGGAUAACUACUGGAAACGGUGGCUAAUACCGCAUAAUGUCUACGGACCAAAGCAGGGGCUCUUCGGACCUUGCACUAUCGGAUGAACCCAUAUGGGAUUAGCUAGUAGGUGGGGUAAAGGCUCACCUAGGCGACGAUCUCAGCUGGUCUGAGAGGAUGAUCAGCCACACUGGGACUGAGACACGGCCCAG
This 219-nucleotide ribosomal RNA is filed under the name uncultured bacterium. Its description in RNAcentral is "partial 16S ribosomal RNA". It matches the Rfam family "Bacterial small subunit ribosomal RNA", at positions 111 to 334 of the family's 1533-position model. The record is from RNAcentral.